CAGCCGCCGCGGGAAUACAGAGGGUGCGAGCGUUAAUCGGAUUUACUGGGCGUAAAGCGUGCGUAGGCGGCUUCUAAGUCGGAUGUGAAAUCCCUGAGCUUAACUUAGGAAUUGCAUUCGAUACUGGGAAGCUAGAGUAUGGGAGAGGAUGGUAGAAUUCCAGGUGUAGCGGUGAAAUGCGUAGAGAUCUGGAGGAAUACCGAUGGCGAAGGCAGCCAUCUGGCCUAAUACUGACGCUGAGGUACGAAAGCAUGGGGAGCAAACAGGAUUAGAUACCCCUGUAGUCCCUGUCUCUUAUACA
RNAcentral lists this ribosomal RNA (301 nucleotides) under uncultured bacterium. Its description in RNAcentral is "partial 16S ribosomal RNA". It matches the Rfam family "Bacterial small subunit ribosomal RNA", at positions 509 to 808 of the family's 1533-position model. The record is from RNAcentral.